Small nuclear RNA from Arvicola amphibius (Eurasian water vole), 106 nucleotides. The record is from RefSeq and is a predicted model, not a curated record. NCBI's taxonomy places the organism in Eukaryota, Metazoa, Chordata, Mammalia, Rodentia, Cricetidae.
GUGCUCACUUUGGCAGCAUAUAUAAUAAAAUUGGAACGAUGCAGAGAAAGUUAGCAUGGCUCCUGCAAAGAAUGACAUGCAGAUUGGGGAAACAUUCCUUAAUUAA